AAAGAAGCUAAGUGUGUUGCACUGGAAUGAUGAAAGAAAGAGUUUGAAAACAUCUCAGGAAUCAGCAAGACCUCACCCAUUACAGGCUCAAAGAAUUUUAUUUGAAAACAGACUGGUAGUAUGCCGUGCUUGCACAGGGUCACCUAAGGAACUGUUCUGGGAUUUGUUUCCCAUAUUCAGUCAUGUGGACACUCAGAGGCCACUGCAAUUAUGUUCCAACAGGGCCUGGAUACCAUUCAUACUGUGGGCAGACAUUAAUAUCCAUUUUACCUUGUUUUGCAGACAUGUAAAAAUUGAGAGCUGUUGGGUUAUGGAGGCUGCUAAGCAGAUUUCAGAAGAAAGCCUGGGAACACCUACCAAAGAACAGCAUAUGCAGGUAGCCUCCUUUCACCUGCUGCCUUCCUCCACCACUCCCCUACCCUAUCCUUCAUCUCUCCUUCCUCAAGAGCAGCUGGAUUAGAAGUCUGUGGGACCAACAGAGUGAAAAGACAACACACAAGCUUCCCAGUGACUCAGUCAACAAUUAUGGACUAUAUGUGACUAUGUGCUGGGAUUUAAUAUUAGUUGAGAACACUGAAGAUUUCUGUCCUCAGGCAGCAGACAUCCUUGUGGGGGAGACAUGAAUGGCAUCCUCAGCACAUGGGGCAUUGUCAUUACCUUAUGACUCAGAUGGUAUAAGACUUCACAGAAAUCAUGAUAAUUUUCCUUAAUACUCAAGAAGGCUGAUGGAAAAAAUGUUACUCAGAUCGGGACCCAGUGAGGGUCUCCUCUGCUCUGGCGGUAGAAUCAGGUUCCACCGCAGCCUCGCGGCUCCUGGACGCCAGACCCGGGCCCACUUCCACCCAUCCUUUCCAAGGCGCGGGAGACGGAAACGCCCAGGACCCGGCGCCUCUUGGGAAGUGGAGUCUGGAGUGGGUCAGACUCGUCGCGCAGCCUCCCCCGCGGGACCAUGGGAGUCCUGCUGCGCCUGCGUGCAGCUGCACACGCCUCCGCACACACAUACACCUACCCCAAGCGGCUGGCUUCUGUGGCCCGGCGAAGCCUCUGAGAUCGCUGUGGCUGAGCCUUCAUAGCUCUCUACCCUGUGCCAAGAGCCACAGAACAUGAACACAGCUCAGGAAUUUUUGAGCCAAGAGAAGGAAAAUGAAUCAAUACACACAUAAAAGUUUAACAUGAUGAGGUUAGUCACUAGAAAAUAGAAUGUUUCUUAAUUUAGUAAAUAGUAUAUUUUAACAAAAACCUUAUUCUAAUGUUUUCUUUUAUAACUUAAUGUUGAAAACUUUUCCCCAGAUAUUGAAAAUAUUGUAUU
Molecule: long non-coding RNA, 1309 nt
Filed under: Chinchilla lanigera (long-tailed chinchilla)
Lineage: Eukaryota; Metazoa; Chordata; Mammalia; Rodentia; Chinchillidae
Description: lncRNA (ENSCLAG00000027547.1)
Source: RNAcentral